GGGUUGCUAGCUCAAUGGUAGAGCAGCUGACUCUUAAUCAGUAGGUUCGGGGUUCGAGUCCCUGGCAGCCCA
RNAcentral lists this transfer RNA (72 nucleotides) under Panacagrimonas perspica. It matches the Rfam family "tRNA". Rfam says of the family: Transfer RNA (tRNA) molecules are approximately 80 nucleotides in length. Their secondary structure includes four short double-helical elements and three loops (D, anti-codon, and T loops). Lineage: Bacteria; Pseudomonadati; Pseudomonadota; Gammaproteobacteria; Nevskiales; Nevskiaceae. RNAcentral also lists the same sequence under 1 other name. The record is from Rfam by way of RNAcentral.